GACGUAGGGCGCGAGCGUUGUCCGGAUUUAUUGGGCGUAAAGAGCUCGUAGGCGGCUUGUCGCGUCGAAUGUGAAAACCCACGGCUCAACUGUGGGCUUGCAUUCGAUACGGGCAGGCUAGAGUUCGGUAGGGGAGACGUGGAAUUCCUGGUGUAGCGGUGAAAGUGACGCAGAGUAUCAGGAGGAACACCGGUGGCGAAGGCGGGUCUCUGGGCCGAUGACUGACGCUGAGGAGCGAAAGCGUGGGGAGCGAACAGG
RNAcentral lists this ribosomal RNA (258 nucleotides) under uncultured bacterium. RNAcentral's name for it is "partial 16S ribosomal RNA". It matches the Rfam family "Bacterial small subunit ribosomal RNA", at positions 524 to 776 of the family's 1533-position model. The record is from RNAcentral.